UAGGGAAUAUUGCGCAAUGGAGGAAACUCUGACGCAGCGACGCCGCGUGGGUGAUGAAGGCCUUCGGGUCGUAAAGCCCUGUCGGAAGGGAAGAAAAAUGAGCUGGCUAAUAUCCAGUUCACUUGACGGUACCUUUAAAGGAAGCACCGGCUAACUACGUGCCAGCAGCCGCGGUAAUACGUAGGGUGCAAGCGUUGUUCGGAAUCAUUGGGCGUAAAGCGCGUGUAGGUGGUUAGGUAAGUCAGUUGUGAAAUCCCUCGGCUCAACCGAGGAAGUGCAUCUGAAACUACCUAGCUAGAGAACGGUAGAGGAAGGUGGAAUUCCAAGUGUAGAGGUGAAAUUCGUAGAUAUUUGGAGGAAUACCGGCGGCGAAGGCGGCCUUCUGGGCCGGUUCUGACAC
RNAcentral lists this ribosomal RNA (400 nucleotides) under uncultured bacterium. Its description in RNAcentral is "bacterial SSU rRNA". It matches the Rfam family "Bacterial small subunit ribosomal RNA", at positions 355 to 746 of the family's 1533-position model. The record is from RNAcentral.